RNAcentral lists this unclassified non-coding RNA (400 nucleotides) under soil metagenome. RNAcentral describes it as "partial contains 5.8S ribosomal RNA, internal transcribed spacer 2, and large subunit ribosomal RNA". The stretch from base 1 to 122 matches the Rfam family "5.8S ribosomal RNA", at positions 35 to 154 of the family's 154-position model. The record is from RNAcentral.
GAUGAAGAACGCAGCGAAAUGCGAUACUUGGUGUGAAUUGCAGAAUCCCGUGAACCAUCGAGUCUUUGAACGCAAGUUGCGCCUCAAGCCAUUAGGUUGAGGGCACGUCUGCCUGGGCGUCACAUAUCGUUGCCUGAUGCCAGUUUCCUCGUGAUGGGUGACUGUGCAGGGGGAAUGAUGGCUUCCCGUGAGCAUUGUUGCCUCAUGGUUGGUUGAAAAUUGAGUCCUUGGUAGGGAGCGCCGUGAUAGAUGGUGGUUGAGUGACGAACGAGACCCAAUCAUGUGAGACCCCUACCGAAUUUGGCCUUCAUGACCCACAUGCGUCUUUGGAACGCUCAUGACGAGACCUCAGGUCAGGCGGGGCUACCCGCUGAGUUUAAGCAUAUCAAUAAGCGGAGGA